CGUUUUAGGAGAAAGUUUGACGAUUAGUUAAGAAUAAGGGUUAAAGUGCAAAUUAGCCACUUUAAGGACUAAAGUGGACUUUUAACCACAAACUUCCGGAGGAAGUUGUGUUUUACUCUAUUUUCUCAAGAUAAGAAAAUAAUAUCGGUAAAGUUGUUAUUGAUAGUCAUUAAAAUGAAAAUUGGACGAAAAAGUGAGAAAAAGUGCAAGUUAGCUCAAAAUGGAAAUUUGAGCGUUUUUGGCCAAAAUUGCCAAAAUAAAUUGUUGGAGGGUGAUAUUAUAAGGUAUGAUACUAUUGUUAUUUAUUUGGGAAAUAAAUAAUACGGAAUUUAUCGAGAAUCGAAUGAUUAAAGGAUUAGUGGACUAAAUUGGACGAAAUAAAAGUUAUAAAGUGAAAGUUGAGGAGGUGACAAACUCAAGGACUAAAGGAGACUUUUGCCUCACCUAUUUAAGACACUUGCAUAUGAGUUUAAACUCAGCAAGCAUAUCAUUUUCAGCUCCUAAAAUUCGUCCUUCACCCUUUCUCCAUGGAAGAACAUCAAGCAAAUUUCAAAUGGUCAUAACUCACUCAAUUUUGAUCCGAAUUGAGCGAUUCUUGUGGCCACGGAACGAGGGAAGGAUCCUCUACUGAUAUAUAGUAUCAAUUUAAGGUUAUUGAAAGCUUGAAGGGAGUAUUUUGAUGGUUGUUCAUGGAGGAAUUCAUUCAACCAAAGGGUUAUCCCAUCAAGAAAAGCGUUAUCGAAAUUGCGUAGACUCGAAGAAGCGACUAUCGAUAAGGCUCGAGGCGAAUGGAUCGAGAUAUCGUCGUGCUUAUUUAAAGAAUUUGGAUAGCAAGUGGGAUGGUAUGAUAUGAUUUGAAGAGUUAAGCUUCCGAAGUUUUAAUUCUCGGAAGUCAUUUGUAUAAGAAGAAAAAGAAGGUUUUCAUUCUAGCGGUCCGCAGUAGUCUAGAUAUUUUAACUAGAAUUUUGUAUAACGCGUUUUUAACUCUGAUAUUAUUUGUAAAUGGGGUCACAUGUAUUUUAAUAUAUGAAAUAUGUUUUGAUUUGCGAAAAAAAUUUACACAGGUUUUUAGGCUUGCUACGGGAUUUGGAGCUACCACUCCCAUUCCCUAGCGCCGGUCGCGGCUCAUAAAUUUGGGUCGUGACAAAGGUGGUAUCAGAGCAAUGGUUUAGAAUUCCUAGGCCAUUAUUCUUUUAUGAUUGAAGUAUAGGAAAGUGUCGAUCAAUAUAUAGGAACUACUGCGGAUUAUAGGGAUUUCCAGUCAUGUCUUUUGAACGUUAUCAAUGUUUUCAUCGAUUUUUCAAACGUUUUACAAAGACGUCCCCUCCUAUACGUGCUAUUAGGAGUCGAGUUAGGAGUGUGCAUGAGCACAAAUUGUGUUUUGUGUUUACUCAAGUAAGCAAUACGCUUUCGAGUAUCUAUAGUCUGCGAAGAGUUAUAUACUCUCGAGACUCAUAUGAUAAAAGAAUAUCGUUAUGGACUAUGAUUGAAUUAAUUGAUUUAAUAGUAUAUGAUUGAUGAGAUAUGCGAUGCGUUACUAAACACGAUCACUCAGGAGAGUGAUAUGCUCACAGGUAUGUACGCCUGUGAUAAUGUAUGCGAUACGUGACAUGUGUGUAUAUGAAUGGUUAUUAUGGAUAGAACUUGCGCUUAUUGAUUGGAUGCUGUUUAAUUUUGCUAAGUCUAUAGUGAGUGGAAUGCUCGCAAGACUUAAAGUACGCGACGCCACCGAGGAAAAUCUAGGAAGCACUGAUUUUCUUUGGACUCAGUCAAUAUAUAUGCUUAUAGCCACGAUAGUGACGCGCGUAGAACAUAGAUAUCAUGAUUAUAUGUUUUGAUGUUUUGCUAAGUCUACAAUGAGUAAGAACACUCAGAAGACUUGCAAUACGAGAUGUAAUCGUAGAAAACCUAGAGGAAGGAGGUAUCCCUAAGGAUCCAACUUACGCGGAUGACUGUUAUUUGUGAUGACUAGUAUGUGCUAUAUUUUAAGGAAUUCAUCGUGAUUCCUUUAUAUAUAUCCGCCAUACUAUGAACAAAGAAUUGCUCGAGCACGUGUUGUUGCACAGUAAGUGCACGAGGCCCAAGGAGAAGCCAGAAGUAAUGAAGGUCAAUGUAACCUAAUCCAUUCGGCCGAUAGAGGCCAGGGACGAGGCAAAGAUCAAGAAGAACCUGGUAUAGACAUAGUGGAAAUAUAUGGGCACCAGGAGUGCCGCAGCAACCCAAUGUCAAUAUUAAUCAGUUAACAGCAGAAAUAACUGAUAUAAGGAAUUGUAUGCCAAUGAUGGGGCAGUUGAUACAAAGACAGUAUCAACGUGAAGAGAGAAACACAAAUAGAGAUGGAUAUUAGCAUACAUGGAGUUAUACCCCAAAAGGAGUCUGAUGGAUCAAAGGAUACACUAGAGUUUCUAGAAAGAAGUGAAGAGUAAGAUAUUAACAGCAAGUAUAACCCAAGGGUUAGUGUUACAGUAGAUAGUAACCCAAAGGACGAAUCGCAAUAAGGUGAAUAGUGAGAAUAUAAUAAGAAGAAAAGCAAUGUCCAAAGGGAACUAAUGUGAAUACGUGUUAGGGGCCAAUAAGGUGGCAAAGAGGAUUCGAACAAGAUAGUGAUCAAUAGGAUUAUGAUAUCGUGAAGAUUAUAAAGGAUGUUAGUAAGUGCCAUAAGAAUUAGCAAACUUCUCUACACGAGUAAGAAGAUAGAUAAGAGUAAAUGAAAGGGAGUUGGUUAACAGACCCGAGAGUCAAUAAUCAAGAUAAGUGAUAGGCGUGGAAGUAAAGAAACUGCUAAAGGCAGCAUAUGGUAAGAAAGGUUGAAUAAAUUGAGAAACUCAUCGGGAAUAAAUAAACGAAGUGUAUCACAUAGACCAGAAGAUAUGAUGAAGGUUAAUGAGAGGAAUAUAACAGGAGACGCUAAAAAAAAAAAUAACGACAAAAGUGAAAAGACCGAAAGGCGAUGCAGCCAGACUCAUAAGAACGAUAGACAAGGGAAAGUAGCCAAGGAUGCUAGAAACUAUUCGUCCGUCUUUGGAACAAAGAAUUUCCAACCUUGCAAAUCCCAUGUGCCCGCAACGCGGCAGAAGUCACUUGGGUAAAGGUCAAGCUAUAAUCAAUGUAUGCAAUUGGUGUGGACAACAAGGUCACUAUGAUAAGGAAUACUCGCAGUCCGUGUAAGUGGAAUACCACAGAUGACGCAAAUCAACUGUCUCCUAAAAGACGUAGUUCUCACGAUGUGUUCUGGUUAAAUACAAUCAAAUAGAUUGCGUAGUUGAAGAAAACAUCGUGAAGUCCGAACGUUAGAAGCUCAAUAACGAUUAAACCUUUCGAGAUAGUCUAGUAUAGACACGAACGUUUAGAACGUACUCUUCAAACGACGUUUGAACGAGACGAGUGGAACCACAUCUUUUCAUGUGCAAAAGAUGUAUAUAGAUUACGAACGGCAAAACAACAAACGAUAAGAACGAAUAGAAAUACAGAGUCUGAUGUCGAAAGAAACUUACGUAAAACCGUUUUAUGAAAAGAAAAGUAUUUGAUUGAAAUGAAAUGUUUUGAAAAGACAUAAUUGUGCCCGGACACGAAUCAUAAAAACAUUGCAUUGACACGAAUAGAAUUGCAUCACUACAUCCAUAUUGCAUUCACUAGUAGGACAUGCAUCAUAUACAUUGUGUGUCUGAAAAGAAAAGAGGAGUGUCAUUGCAACUCUUGUGAUGAGAGAAGUCAUCACACCGGUGCACAAUUAUGACAUGAUUUGAGAAAUGAAAGGUAUCAUGGUUUUAAGCGGAUAAGUUUUUAAACGUAAGUAAGCUCAGACAGGGACUCUGUAUAUAGAGGCAUAGGACAAGACUGAUCAUCUUGUUAGGCAUAUAUGAAAACAUACGUAUGUAACACGACAAGUAUAUAGAACGACGAGUAGUGUAAUGCGAAUCGCAACGUAUUGAGAUUUGAAUUGCAAAUCUCUAAGGUGGUCUUGUAUAUUAAAUACAAGAACAACGACGCUACUUUACAAACAUGUAAAGUGACAGCGGACGUGUUUAAAUUCGAAGCACGUUUACCUCUAGGACGAGGAAAUCGAAUAUAGAAGUUAGUUACGUUAGGGGAUAUGAACCCUACGAACAAACAUAUGUUGUUCAGAAAGGUCGAAUAAAGAGAAUUGAUUCAUAAUAGUUAUGAAUCAAGAAGUAACAAGAUGGUUAGGAUUGUUAGCAUAAAAAGUACUCGAUAAGUGAUGACCGUAUAAACCUAAUUGUAAAGUCAACAGUUAGUGAAUAACUAAUCAGAGUAUCGCAGCGGAAGUGUGGAAGGAAGUGAAUGAUAAGGUUUGAACAAGGAUUGGUUAAGUGAUAUUAGAAGAUUAUGAAAAUUCGAGGACGAAUUUUUAUAAGGGGGGAAGAUUGUAAUAACCUAAAUUUUUGAGGUAUUACGUGUAGUGCCACGAGGCAUAAUCGUAAAGAUUAAGAAUGAGAAAAUCAGAUUAGGAUUGGAUAAUAAGGACUUAGACCGAAGAGGGUCUAUUGGAAUUAUUGUAGGAUAAUAAUUUAAAUGGAAAAUUAUUAUGCGAUGAAUUGGAUUUAAUCGGGACAAAAAUGGAAUAAGAUAAAAUAAGUUGGAAAGCCAGAGUUAAUAAUAUUCACGUCAAGGUCCGUGAAAUAUUAUUAAUAAAUGAUCGUCAAAGUUUUGUAAGUAUACGAAAUCGUUUUAGGAGAAAGUUUGACGAUUAGUUAAGAAUAAGGGUUAAAGUGCAAAUUAGCCACUUUAAGGACUAAAGUGGACUUUUAACCACAAACUUCCGGAGGAAGUUGUGUUUUACUCUAUUUUCUUAAGAUAAGAAAAUAAUAUCGGUAAAGUUGUUAUUGAUAGUCAUUAAAAUGAAAAUUGGACGAAAAAGUGAGAAAAAGUGCAAGUUAGCUCAAAAUGGAAAUUUGAGCGUUUUUGGCCAAAAUUGCCAAAAUAAAUUGUUGGAGGGUGAUAUUAUAAGGUAUGAUACUAUUGUUAUUUAUUUGGGAAAUAAAUAAUACGGAAUUUAUCGAGAAUCGAAUGAUUAAAGGAUUAGUGGACUAAAUUGGACGAAAUAAAAGUUAUAAAGUGAAAGUUGAGGAGGUGACAAACUCAAGGACUAAAGGAGACUUUUGCCUCACCUAUUUAAGACACUUGCAUAUGAGUUUAAACUCAGCAAGCAUAUCAUUUUCAGCUCCUAAAAUUCGUCCUUCACCCUUUCUCCAUGGAAGAACAUCAAGCAAAUUUCAAAUGGUCAUAACUCACUCAAUUUUGAUCCGAAUUGAGCGAUUCUUGUGGCCACGGAACGAGGGAAGGAUCCUCUACUGAUAUAUAGUAUCAAUUUAAGGUUAUUGAAAGCUUGAAGGGAGUAUUUUGAUGGUUGUUCAUGGAGGAAUUCAUUCAACCAAAGGGUUAUCCCAUCAAGAAAAGGUAUAAAUUCAGAAUUUUGGACUUUUGGUAAUGAAUUGAUUGAAUUGAGUGGAGUAUUGGUUAAGUUUGAAGUUGGAUUUUCUGGUUUGGUGUUGAAUUGAUGCUGUCUACGACUAGAAUUUUUUGAAAUACUUAGAAAUGUUUGUUUGAGCUGGAAUUUUUAUAUGUUCUGAGUAUAUGAGUUAAGUUGGUGUAUAAAAAAUUUCAGAAUUUUUCAUGUUUCUGAUAUUGAGAUAAAAAUUAAAUAGCACCUAGUGCUCUGUUUGCAAAUUGUGUAAGGCUGCUGCUGUAAGUUAAUUAUUUGAGGACCUUAAACACAUUAGUUUGGCCUAA
Mercurialis annua (annual mercury) is the source of this 5751-nucleotide long non-coding RNA. RefSeq lists it as uncharacterized. The record is from RefSeq and is a predicted model, not a curated record. NCBI's taxonomy places the organism in Eukaryota, Viridiplantae, Streptophyta, Magnoliopsida, Malpighiales, Euphorbiaceae. The transcript has 5 exons.